GAUGAACGCUGGCGGCGUGCCUAAUACAUGCAAGUCGAGCGAACAGAUUAUUAGCUUGCUCCUUUUACGUUAGCGGCGGACGGGUGAGUAACACGUUGAUAACCUACCUAUAAUACUUGGAUAACUUCGGGAAACCGACGCUAAUACCGGAUCAUAUCUUGAACCGCAUGGUUCAAUAGUUUACGGCGGCUUUGCUGUCCCUUAUCGAUUGAUCCGGGACGUAUUAGCUAGUUGGUAAGGUAACGGCUUACCAAGGCAACGAUACGUAGCCGACCUGGGAGGGGGAUCGGCCACACUGGAACGGGGACGCGGUCAAGACGCCUAAGGGAGGGAGCAGAAGGGAAUGUGACGCAAUGGGCGAAAGCAUGACGGAGCAACGGGGAGUGAGUGAUGAAGGCCUUCGGAUCGUAAAAACCUGUUAUGAGGGAAGAACAAAUGUGUAAGUAAAUGUGCAGAAAGUGACGGUACCUGAACAGAAAGCAACGGCUAACUACGUG
This 497-nucleotide ribosomal RNA is filed under the name uncultured bacterium. Its description in RNAcentral is "partial 16S ribosomal RNA". It matches the Rfam family "Bacterial small subunit ribosomal RNA", at positions 28 to 507 of the family's 1533-position model. The record is from RNAcentral.